UACGUAGGGUGCAAGCGUUGUCCGGAAUUAUUGGGCGUAAAGAGCUCGUAGGCGGUUUGUCGCGUCUGCUGUGAAAACUCGGGGCUUAACCCCGGGCCUGCAGUGGGUACGGGCAGACUAGAGUGCGGUAGGGGAGACUGGAAUUCCUGGUGUAGCGGUGAAAUGCGCAGAUAUCAGGAAGAACACCCGUGGCGAAGGCGGCUCUCUGGUACGUGACUGACGCUGAGACGCGAAAGCGUGGGGAGCAAACAGG
Molecule: ribosomal RNA, 253 nt
Filed under: uncultured bacterium
Lineage: Bacteria
Description: partial 16S ribosomal RNA
Rfam family: Bacterial small subunit ribosomal RNA
Source: RNAcentral